RNAcentral lists this ribosomal RNA (468 nucleotides) under uncultured bacterium. RNAcentral's name for it is "partial 16S ribosomal RNA". It matches the Rfam family "Bacterial small subunit ribosomal RNA", at positions 28 to 507 of the family's 1533-position model. The record is from RNAcentral.
GACGAACGCUGGCGGCGUGCUUAACACAUGCAAGUCGAACGGAAAGGCCCUGCUUUGGUGGGGUGCUCGAGGGGCGAACGGGUGAGUAACACGUGAGUAACCUGCCCUUGACUGUGGGAUAACUUCAGGAAACUGGGGCUAAUACCGGAUAGGAGCUCCUGCUGCAUGGUGGGGGUUGGAAAGUUUAGGCGGUUGGGGAUGGACUCGCGCCUUAUCAGCUUGUUGGUGGGGUAGUGGCUUACCAAGGCCUUGACGGGUAGCCGGGCGGAGAGGGUGAGCGGCAACAUUGGGACUGAGAUACGGCCCAGACUCCUACGGGAGGCAGCAGUGGGGAAUAUUGCACAAUGGGCGGAAGCCUGAUCCAGCAACGCCGCGUGCGGGAUGACGGCCUUCGGGUUGUAAACCGCUUUCGCCUGUGACGAAGCGUGAGUGACGGUAAUGGGUAAAGAAGCACCGGCUAACUACGUG